UAAGUCUUUUCCUUUCACGGGUUCCCCCGCAUGGGGAACGACAGGGAACGCGGUUGAUGCCGCGGCUGCCCCCGCAACUGUAGGCGGAGAGUCUGCGCCGUUUGACCACUGGACCCUUUCAAGGGGUCUGGGAAGGUGGCGCCAGAUGACGACCCGCGAGCCAGGACACCUGCCGUGAACCGGAGGAACGC
Molecule: non-coding RNA, 191 nt
Filed under: Rhodospirillaceae bacterium
Lineage: Bacteria; Pseudomonadati; Pseudomonadota; Alphaproteobacteria; Rhodospirillales; Rhodospirillaceae
Source: RNAcentral